ACCUACAGAAUGGGAGAAAAUACUUGUAAAUUAUAUAUCUGAUAAGGGAUUAAUAUCCAGAAUAUAUAAAUAACUACAAUUUAACAAAAAGUCGAAUUAAAAAUGGGCAGAGCAGUUACUAAUUUCUCCAAAGAAGAUACACGAGUGGCUAACAUUUUGAAAAGAGGCUCAAAAUCAUUAGCCAUCAGGGCAAUGCAAAUUAAAACCAUGAUGAGGUAACACUUCACACUUACUAGGAUGGCUCUAAUUUUUAAAAAGUGGAAAAUAAGUGUUGGCAAGGAUAGAAAUCAGAAACCAGAAUGCACUGCUGGUGGGAAUGUAAAAUGGUGCAGCCACUGUGGAAAACAGUUCAGCACCCCCUCAAAGAGCUAAACAUAAAAUUACCAUAUGACCCCUCAAUUCUACUUUUAGAUUUAUAGUCAAAAGAUUUGAAAGUAGGGACUUAAACAGAUAUUUACAUGCUCAUAUUAAUUGCAGCAUUAUUCACAGUAGCCAAAACUUGGAAACAACCCAAGAGUCCAUUGACAAGUGAAUGGAUGAAGAAAAUGCGUCAUAUAUGGGACAGUGGCCAUAUAUUGCCAUAAAAGGAAUGGAGUUUUGAUACAACAUGGUGAGACUUGCAGAUGUUAUGCUAAGUGAAAUAAAUAGACACAAAAGGACAAAUAUACAAAUAUAUGUUCCACUUACAUGAAAUACUCAGAGAAAACCAUGUUCUGAGCUAUGGACUUUUAUACCUGGAUGUCUAAUCUGAGGCCAUCAAAAGAACUCACUCAUAGAUCAGUUUGCCUCAUUUCAUGGUCUGCCUUGGAUUCCCCCACACCCACUGAUCCAAAGUCUGUGGAAUAGGGAGGCACCUUCCAGCAAAGAAGGCAGACAUGAAAGUGUACAUUGUGAUCUCUCUGUUACGAAGUUGAAGAACUGGCCAAACUGAUGUAUGUUAAUAGGAAUCAAAACAGGGGCUGCGUGUGGAGGGGUGGACGAUGUUAUUUGAAAAGUUACAGGACAGAUUUUCUGUGUUAAUGGACAUGAGCCAUACAUUGAGAGGGCUGCUGGCUACUGAAAGAAAUAUAAAAUUUUAAAAUUUCUGAAAUCAUGCAGUUAACAUCUGCACACUUCACUAUAUUUUAAGUUUUUGUUAAUAUAAAAGAAUAAGAAAACAGAAAAGUAUUACUGUUAAACAAUAAUAGAGAAAUGUAUACUUUAUUUACAAAUUUCUCCCUCUAGCUGAUCAUACAGUUGACCAGUUCAGGGUGCCCGCUGCUGGUUGGAUGCCAGGCGGAAUGUCAGGGUGUUCUCUGGUGUCUGUUGUGGCUGUGGGAUCCACGGUUACUGGGCGGAGCCCUGUGGUGGCUGUGGUGCCAUGGAGGGGCUGCGAUCUUCUGUGGAGCUGGACCCUGAGCUGACUCCAGGGAAGCUGGAUGAGGAGAUGGUGGGGCUGCCACCCCAUGACGCGAGUCCUCAAGUCACUUUCCACAGCCUCGAUGGGAAGACAGUGGUGUGUCCACACUUCAUGGGCUUACUGCUGGGUCUCUUACUUUUAUUGACUUUGUCUGUUAGGAACCAACUCUGUGUAAGAGGUGAAAGGCAGCUUGCAGAAACACUGCAUUCACAGGUGAAGGAGAAAUCCCAGCUCAUUGGCAAGAAAACAGAUUGUAGAGACUGAGGCAUCUUUAAAAGAUGUCAGGGUACAGAAAAAGUCUUUCAACACCCCCGGCUUUGUAGAUGCCUACAAGAAGGUGAAUAGCACCAACGAGAUGCUGAUGGAGAAAUUUACCACCCUCGUUCAAGAACUGAAAGAAGAGACAUCCUCCAGACUCUCCAGGCAACAAGAGGAGCUGGUAGAGAUGCUAACAACGCUGGAGGCCCUGGGAGAGGCCAUGAGAGCCACCCCGUCACAAGGAGCUUUUCCACACCUGCCAUGCAGCUGAGAGCCAAGCCCUGCUGCUCUCUCCCCCACGAGGGGGCUGGGUCUUAGAGCAGCACUGUUCUUUUCCCCUCCACCCAGGCCUCCCGAGCUGCCAGGCUCUGUGCUCCCACACUGACUCCAUCUGAGGGGUCCUUGAGGCCAGUGGAUCUGGAGUACCCCGCCCCUGGCCUGGAGUUCCUCCUCCUUCUCACGCUGACACUGCAGCCAGCUCCUCAAUGGGCGGUGCCUCCAAAUCUAAAGAAUAUGGAGGUCCUGGAGCACACCAAGAAAUGAGGGACUUUUUCUUUGCAGAAAGUUUGAAUUCUGUCUUAAUGAGACAGAAUGCCAUACUUGAGCACCUCAUCUUUUGCUCAAAUUGAAAUGUCAUCGAACUGUAUUUCUCAAGUCAAUGGUCUGUAAAUAUGAUUUAUGUAUUAAUCUCCUAAGUGAACAAUUUAUAUUUUAUCCUCUACAUAAUUAUCGUAUUAUGCUUUAAAUAUAUAUUUAGUUUAUCAAUAAAGACAUUCAGUACUCAA
RNAcentral lists this long non-coding RNA (2442 nucleotides) under Homo sapiens (human). RNAcentral describes it as "HSALNT0357242". The record is from RNAcentral. Lineage: Eukaryota; Metazoa; Chordata; Mammalia; Primates; Hominidae.